GACGAACGCUGGCGGCGUGCUUAACACAUGCAAGUCGAACGGAAAGGCCCUGCUUUUGUGGGGUGCUCGAGUGGCGAACGGGUGAGUAACACGUGAGUAACCUGCCCUUGACUUUGGGAUAACUUCAGGAAACUGGGGCUAAUACCGGAUAGGAGCUCCUGCUGCAUGGUGGGGGUUGGAAAGUUUCGGCGGUUGGGGAUGGACUCGCGGCUUAUCAGCUUGUUGGUGGGGUAGUGGCUUACCAAGGCUUUGACGGGUAGCCGGCCUGAGAGGGUGAACGGCCACAUGGGGACUGAGAUACGGCCCAGACGCCUACGGGAGGCAGCAGGGGGGAAUAUUGCACAGUGGGCGGAAGCCUGAUGCAGCAACGCCGCGUGCGGGAUGACGGCCUGCGGGUUGUAAACCGCUUCCGCCUGUGACGAAGCGGGAGUGACGGUAAUGGGUAAAGAAGCACCGGCUAACUACGUG
This 468-nucleotide ribosomal RNA is filed under the name uncultured bacterium. RNAcentral's name for it is "partial 16S ribosomal RNA". It matches the Rfam family "Bacterial small subunit ribosomal RNA", at positions 28 to 507 of the family's 1533-position model. The record is from RNAcentral.